Non-coding RNA from Medicago truncatula (barrel medic), 75 nucleotides. The record is from Rfam. Lineage: Eukaryota; Viridiplantae; Streptophyta; Magnoliopsida; Fabales; Fabaceae.
GAGAUGUGAUGAUGUUUACAUUGGUCCGUGUUUCUGAUUCACCUUGACAGACAACCUCUUCCAAUUUCUGAUCUC